This 292-nucleotide ribosomal RNA is filed under the name uncultured Alphaproteobacteria bacterium. RNAcentral describes it as "partial 16S ribosomal RNA". Lineage: Bacteria; Pseudomonadati; Pseudomonadota; Alphaproteobacteria. The record is from RNAcentral.
GGACUACUGGGGUUUCUAAUCCUGUUUGCUCCCCACGCUUUCGCGCCUCAGCGUCAGAAACGGACCAGUGAGCCGCCUUCGCCACCGGUGUUCUUCCCAAUAUCUACGAAUUUCACCUCUACACUGGGAAUUCCACUCACCUCUUCCGUUCUCUAGCCAAGCAGUUUCAGAGGCCAUUCCAGAGUUAAGCUCUGGGAUUUCACCCCUGACUUACAUGACCGCCUACGCGCGCUUUACGCCCAGUAAUUCCGAACAACGCUAGCCCCCUUCGUAUUACCGCGGCGGCUGGCAC